AGGAAACUCUGAUGCAGCGACGCCGCGUGAGUGAAGAAGGCCUUCGGGUUGUAAAGCUCUUUCGGACGGAAAGAAAACGGAUGGGUUAAUACCCUGUUCGGAUGACGGUACCGUCAUAAGAAGCACCGGCUAACUACGUGCCAGCAGCCGCGGUAAUACGUAGGGGACAAGCGUUGUCCGGAUUUACUGGGCGUAAAGGGCACGCAGGCGGUUUUUUAAGUCAGAUGUGAAAGGUACCGGCUCAACCGGUGACAUGCAUUUGAAACUGAAAGACUUGAGUAUUGGAGAGGCAAGUGGAAUUCCUAGUGUAGCGGUGAAAUGCGUAGAUAUUAGGAGGAACACCGGUGGCGAAGGCGGCUUGCUGGACAAAUACUGACGCUGAGGUGCGAAAGCGUGGGGAGCAAACA
Molecule: ribosomal RNA, 407 nt
Filed under: uncultured Acetobacterium sp.
Lineage: Bacteria; Bacillati; Bacillota; Clostridia; Eubacteriales; Eubacteriaceae
Description: bacterial SSU rRNA
Rfam family: Bacterial small subunit ribosomal RNA
Source: RNAcentral